Molecule: non-coding RNA, 73 nt
Organism: Stegodyphus mimosarum
Lineage: Eukaryota; Metazoa; Arthropoda; Arachnida; Araneae; Eresidae
Source: Rfam
GCCUUCGUGGUGUAGUGGUCACCACUCUCGACGCAUAACCGAGCGGUCGAGGGUUCGAUUCCCGGCGAAAGCG